Molecule: ribosomal RNA, 1556 nt
Filed under: metagenome
Description: bacterial LSU rRNA
Rfam family: Bacterial large subunit ribosomal RNA
Source: RNAcentral
UCUAAGGUUUCCAGAGUAAAGCUGAUCUGCUCUGGGUAAGUCGGGGCCUAAGGAGAGGUCGCAAGACGUAUCCGAUGGACAACAGGUUUAGAUUCCUGUACCGCAUAUAAACAGAACUGUGGGGACGCAUGUGGAAAGCAUAAGCCGGGAAUGGAAAGACCGGUACAAGCGAGGUAGGUGUGUGACAGGCAAAUCCGUCACAUAAGCCGAAGACGUGAUGUGGAGCGAAAUUAAGUAGUGAAGUAUGUGAGCCAUGUGCCGAGAAAAGCCGCUAUUGUUUUAUAUGUGCCCGUACCGUAAACCGACACAGGUGGAUGAGGAGAGAAUCCUAAGGCCGACGGAAGAAGCAUUGUUAAGGAAUUCGGCAAAAUGACCCCGUAACUUCGGGAGAAGGGGUGCCCACUGAAUGGUGGGCCGCAGAGAAUAGGCUCAAGCAACUGUUUAGCAAAAACACAGGUCUAUGCGAAACCGAAAGGUGAAGUAUAUGGGCUGACGCCUGCCCGGUGCUGGAAGGUUAAGAGGAGAGGUUAGCGCAAGCGAAGCUUUGAAUUUAAGCCCCAGUGAACGGCGGCCGUAACGAUAACGGUCCUAAGGUAGCGAAAUUCCUUGUCGGGUAAGUUCCGACCCGCACGAAAGGCGUAAUGAUUUGAGCACUGUCUCGACAAUGCAUCCGGUGAAAUUGAAGUACCAGUGAAGAUGCUGGUUACCCGCGCCAGGACGGAAAGACCCCAUGGAGCUUUACUCCAGUUUGAUACUGGGAUUCGGUACUGCACGUACAAGAUAGGUGGGAGACUGAGAACUAUGGACGCCAGUCUGUAGGGAGUCGCUGUUGGGAUACCACCCCUGUAGUACUGGGUUUCUAACCAUCUGCCGUGAUCCGGCAGUGGGACAAUGUCAGGCGGGGAGUUUGACUGGGGCGGUCGCCUCCGAAAGGGUAUCGGAGGCGCUCAAAGGUUCCCUCAGAAUGGUCGGAAACCAUUUGAAGAGUGCAAAGGCAGAAGGGAGCUUGACUGCGACACCGACGGGUGGAGCAGGUACGAAAGUAGGACUUAGUGAUCCGGUGGUAUAAAGUGGGAUUGCCAUCGCUCAACGGAUAAAAGCUACCCUGGGAUAACAGGCUUAUCACUCCCAAGAGUUCACAUCGACGGAGUGGUUUGGCACCUCGAUGUCGGCUCAUCGCAUCCUGGGGCUGUAGCAGGUCCCAAGGGUUGGGCUGUUCGCCCAUUAAAGCGGUACGCGAGCUGGGUUCAGAACGUCGUGAGACAGUUCGGUCCCUAUCCGGCGCGGGCGGAGGAUAUUUGAGAGGAGCUGUCCUUAGUACGAGAGGACCGGGAUGGACGGACCACUGGUGUAUCUGUUGUCGACCAACGGCAUGGCAGAGUAGCCAAGUCUGGAAGGGAUAAACGCUGAAGGCAUCUAAGCGUGAAGCCCCCCUCAAGAUGAGAUAUCCCUCCUUCGGGAGUAAGACCCCUUGAAGACUACAAGGUAGAUAGGGCAGAGGUGGAAGUGUGGCAACACAUGGAGCUGACUGUUACUAAUAGGUCGAGGGCUUGAUU